RNAcentral lists this unclassified non-coding RNA (90 nucleotides) under Pseudomonas yamanorum. Lineage: Bacteria; Pseudomonadati; Pseudomonadota; Gammaproteobacteria; Pseudomonadales; Pseudomonadaceae. The record is from RNAcentral.
UGUGGGAGCUGGCUUGCCUGCGAUAGCGAUCUGUCAGUUGCCAUCUUCAUUGGCUGAUGCACCGUUAUCGCAGGCAAGCCAGCUCCCACA